CAGACUUGAGUACUGCAGGGGAGACUGGAAUUCCUGGUGUAGCGGUGAAAUGCGCAGAUAUCAGGAGGAACACCGGUGGCGAAGGCGGGUCUGCUGGGCAGUAACUGACGCUGAGGAGCGAAAGCGUGGGUAGCGAACAGGAUUAGAUACCCUGGUAGUCCACGCCGUAAACGGUGGGCGCUAGGUGUGGGUUUCCUUCCACGGGAUCCGUGCCGUAUGCUAACGCAUUAAGCGCCCCGCCUGGGGAGUACGGCCGCAAGGCUAAUCAACUCAAAGGAAUUGACGGGGGCCCGCACAAGCGGCGGAGCAUGUGGAUUAAUUCGAUGCAACGCGAAGAACCUUACCUGGGUUUGACAUACACCGGACCGCCCCAGAGAUGGGGUUUCCCUUGUGGUCGGUGUACAGGUGGUGCAUGGCUGUCGUCAGCUCGUGUCGUGAGAUGUUGGGUUAAGUCCCGCAACGAGCGCAACCCUUGUCCUGUGUUGCCAGCAAUUCGGUUGGGGACUCGCACGGAGACUGCCGGGGUCAACUCGGAGGAAGGUGGGGACGACGUCAAGUCAUCAUGCCCCUUAUGUCCAGGGCUUCACACAUGCUACAAUGGCCGGUACAGAGGGCUGCGAUACCGCGAGGUGGAGCGAAUCCCUUAAAGCCGGUCUCAGUUCGGAUCGGGGUCUGCAACUCGACCCCGUGAAGUCGGAGUCGCUAGUAAUCGCAGAUCAGCAACGCUGCGGGUGAAUACGUUCCCGGGCCUUGUACACACCGCCCGUCACGUCAUGAAAGUCGGUAACACCCGAAGCCGGUGG
RNAcentral lists this ribosomal RNA (803 nucleotides) under Rhodococcus aetherivorans. Its description in RNAcentral is "bacterial SSU rRNA". It matches the Rfam family "Bacterial small subunit ribosomal RNA", at positions 637 to 1433 of the family's 1533-position model. The record is from RNAcentral. Lineage: Bacteria; Bacillati; Actinomycetota; Actinomycetes; Mycobacteriales; Nocardiaceae.